Molecule: ribosomal RNA, 253 nt
Filed under: uncultured bacterium
Lineage: Bacteria
Description: partial 16S ribosomal RNA
Rfam family: Bacterial small subunit ribosomal RNA
Source: RNAcentral
UACGUAGGGGACAAGCGUUGUCCGGAAUUAUUGGGCGUAAAGCGCGUGUAGGCGGCCAAGUAAGUCUGACGUGAAAUCCUGAGGCUCAACCUCAGGCCUGCGCGGGAUACUGCUUGGCUAGAGUACGGAAGAGGAGAGUGGAAUUCCUGGUGUAGCGGUGGAAUGCGCAGAUAUCAGGAGGAACACCCGUGGCGAAGGCGGUUCUCUGGGACGGUACUGACGCUGAGACGCGAAGGCGUGGGGAGCGAACAGG